UACGUAGGGGGCUAGCGUUGUCCGGAAUCAUUGGGCGUAAAGAGCGUGUAGGCGGUCCGGUAAGUCCGUUGUGAAAGUCAGGGGCUCAACCCUUGAAUGCCGGCGGAUACUGUCGGGCUAGAGUCCGGAAGAGGCGAGUGGAAUUCCCGGUGUAGCGGUGAAAUGCGCAGAUAUCGGGAGGACACCUAUGGCGAAGGCAGCUCGCUGGGACGGUACUGACGCUGAGACGCGAAAGCGUGGGGAGCAAACAGG
This 252-nucleotide ribosomal RNA is filed under the name uncultured bacterium. RNAcentral describes it as "partial 16S ribosomal RNA". It matches the Rfam family "Bacterial small subunit ribosomal RNA", at positions 524 to 776 of the family's 1533-position model. The record is from RNAcentral.